CUCUAGUUACAUGCAUUAACUGUUUGUUCUAUUAACAAGGAAUAGAGGUUAGGGUGCUUUGCAAAAAAACUAAGGAGGUUUUAAUGGAAGAAAGCAAUGUUCAGGCCAACUGUUCAAUCUGUUCA
This is a long non-coding RNA of Zingiber officinale, 125 nucleotides long. RefSeq lists it as uncharacterized. NCBI's taxonomy places the organism in Eukaryota, Viridiplantae, Streptophyta, Magnoliopsida, Zingiberales, Zingiberaceae. The record is from RefSeq and is a predicted model, not a curated record. The transcript is spliced from 3 exons.